This 245-nucleotide ribosomal RNA is filed under the name uncultured bacterium. RNAcentral describes it as "partial 16S ribosomal RNA". It matches the Rfam family "Bacterial small subunit ribosomal RNA", at positions 524 to 767 of the family's 1533-position model. The record is from RNAcentral.
UACGGAGGAUGCAAGCGUUAUCCGGAUUCAUUGGGUUUAAAGGGUGCGCAGGCGGAUUUGUUAAGUCAGUGGUGAAAUUUAACGGCUCAACUGUUAAGCUGCCAUUGAUACUGAUAGUCUAGAGUAUAGUUGGGGUGGGCGGAAUGUGUCAUGUAGCGGUGAAAUGCUUAGAUAUGACACAGAACACCGAUCGCGAAGGCAGCUCACCAAGCUAAAACUGACGCUCAUGCACGAAAGCGUGGGGA